AUUGAACGCUGGCGGCAUGCUUUACACAUGCAAGUCGAACGGUAACAGGCCUUCGGGUGCUGACGAGUGGCGAACGGGUGAGUAAUGCAUCGGAACGUACCCAGAGGUGGGGGAUAACGCAGCGAAAGCUGUGCUAAUACCGCAUGUGAUCUGAGGAUGAAAGCGGGGGACCGAGCAGCAAUGUUUGGCCUCGCGCCUUUGGAGCGGCCGAUGUCGGAUUAGCUAGUUGGUGGGGUAAAGGCCUACCAAGGCGACGAUCCGUAGCUGGUCUGAGAGGACGACCAGCCACACUGGGACUGAGACACGGCCCAGACUCCUACGGGAGGCAGCAGUGGGGAAUUUUGGACAAAGGGCGAAAGCCUGAUCCAGCAAUGCCGCGUGCGGGAAGAAGGCCUUCGGGUUGUAAACCGCUUUUGGCAGGAACGAAACGGUGUCCGCUAAUACCGGGCGCUAAUGACGGUACCUGCAGAAUAAGCACCGGCUAACUACGUG
RNAcentral lists this ribosomal RNA (492 nucleotides) under uncultured bacterium. RNAcentral's name for it is "partial 16S ribosomal RNA". It matches the Rfam family "Bacterial small subunit ribosomal RNA", at positions 29 to 507 of the family's 1533-position model. The record is from RNAcentral.